Molecule: non-coding RNA, 77 nt
Organism: Cordylochernes scorpioides
Lineage: Eukaryota; Metazoa; Arthropoda; Arachnida; Pseudoscorpiones; Chernetidae
Source: the annotation of a GenBank genome assembly
GCCCAGGGUAGCUAAGUGUAUACAUGGCAUCUGCCCGGUAAACGGAACAAUGUGGGUUCGAUUCCCAUCCCUGGACA